Molecule: ribosomal RNA, 449 nt
Filed under: uncultured Anoxybacillus sp.
Lineage: Bacteria; Bacillati; Bacillota; Bacilli; Caryophanales; Anoxybacillaceae
Description: bacterial SSU rRNA
Rfam family: Bacterial small subunit ribosomal RNA
Source: RNAcentral
UGGAGCAUGUGGUUUAAUUCGAAGCAACGCGAAGAACCUUACCAGGUCUUGACAUCCCUGACAACCCGAGAGAUCGGGCGUUCCCCUUCGGGGGACAGGGUGACAGGUGGUGCAUGGUUGUCGUCAGCUCGUGUCGUGAGAUGUUGGGUUAAGUCCCGCAACGAGCGCAACCCUCGACCCUAGUUGCCAGCAUUCAGUUGGGCACUCUAAGGUGACUGCCGGCUAAAAGUCGGAGGAAGGUGGGGAUGACGUCAAAUCAUCAUGCCCCUUAUGACCUGGGCUACACACGUGCUACAAUGGGCGGUACAAAGGGUCGCGAACCCGCGAGGGGGAGCCAAUCCCAAAAAGCCGCUCUCAGUUCGGAUUGCAGGCUGCAACUCGCCUGCAUGAAGCCGGAAUCGCUAGUAAUCGCGGAUCAGCAUGCCGCGGUGAAUACGUUCCCGGGCCUU